UACGAAGGGGGCUAGCGUUGUUCGGAAUUACUGGGCGUAAAGCGCACGUAGGCGGCGUGUUAAGUCAGGGGUGAAAUCCCGAGGCUCAACCUCGGAACUGCCUUUGAUACUGGAGAUCUUGAGUUCGGAAGAGGUUGGUGGAACAGCUAGUGUAGAGGUGAAAUUCGUAGAUAUUAGCUAGAACACCAGUGGCGAAGGCGGCCAACUGGUCCGAUACUGACGCUGAGGUGCGAAAGCGUGGGGAGCAAACAGG
This 253-nucleotide ribosomal RNA is filed under the name uncultured bacterium. Its description in RNAcentral is "partial 16S ribosomal RNA". It matches the Rfam family "Bacterial small subunit ribosomal RNA", at positions 524 to 776 of the family's 1533-position model. The record is from RNAcentral.